RNAcentral lists this ribosomal RNA (301 nucleotides) under uncultured bacterium. RNAcentral describes it as "partial 16S ribosomal RNA". It matches the Rfam family "Bacterial small subunit ribosomal RNA", at positions 509 to 809 of the family's 1533-position model. The record is from RNAcentral.
CAGCCGCCGCGGUAAAACGUAGGUGGCAAGCGUUGUCCGGAAUUAUUGGGCGUAAAGGGCUCGCAGGCGGUUUCUUAAGUCUGAUGUGAAAGCCCCCGGCUCAACCGGGGAGGGUCAUUGGAAACUGGGAAACUUGAGUGCAGAAGAGGAGAGUGGAAUUCCACGUGUAGCGGUGAAAUGCGUAGAGAUGUGGAGGAACACCAGUGGCGAAGGCGACUCUCUGGUCUGUAACUGACGCUGAGGAGCGAAAGCGUGGGGAGCGAACAGGAUUAGAUACCCGCGUAGUCCCUGUCUCUUAUAU